Esox lucius (northern pike) is the source of this 1446-nucleotide long non-coding RNA. RefSeq lists it as uncharacterized. The record is from RefSeq and is a predicted model, not a curated record. The transcript has 3 exons. NCBI's taxonomy places the organism in Eukaryota, Metazoa, Chordata, Actinopteri, Esociformes, Esocidae.
GGGAAAGGUGGGCUCCUCUGGAUAUUGAGCUGUUGGUAUAGCCCAGGGAAGGGGAAAGGUGGGCUCCUCUGGAUAUUGAGCUGUUGGUAUAGCCCAGGGAAGGGGAAAGGUGGGCUCCUCUGGAUAUUGAGCUGUUGGUAUAGCCCAGGGAAGGGGAAAGGUGGGCUCCUCUGGAUAUUGAGCUGUUGGUAUAGCCCAGGGAAGGGGAAAGGUGGGCUCCUCUGGAUAUUGAGCUGUUGGUAUAGCCCAGGGAAGGGGAAAGGUGGGCUCCUCUGGAUAUUGAGCUGUUGGUAUAGCCCAGGGAAGGGGAAAGGAUCGACGUCCCGGACACAGCCCCAGUGAUGCAAUGUGCUAUCUUGAUCGGCAGGAGGCCCGCUGUAGUCGUUUGCUGAGCAGUUCCAUUACCAGACUGCGAUCCAGAUGGUGAGAACACUCCUAAUGGAGCAGCAAUAGGAUGUGGAGAUGAGCUAAGGAAACCAAAUUUCUUUAACUGCCUUAAGGAGAACAGUCACUGUUUUGGCGGCUUUACUGGUCGACGACAAAUCCUUGGGUGUGCGGACCCCAAAAAGAACCAACUGCUUACUCUCUCUAUUGAUGUGGAUCAGGGUGUAUUUCCUGCUCAUUUCCUGCUCGUUCUGCUGACGUUGAGGGAGAGUUUGUUAUCCGGAUGCCGCAAGGCCUUUUUGUUUUCUUUCUCUUUCUUUUCCUAUUUUAAGCCGAGGAACUGGACAUUGCAUUGUCAGAGCUGGGCAUCAUAUCACAUCCUAAACGCUCCAAACCUGGGUUGAUUUUUAUGUUACUAAAAGUUGUGUCCAUUAACGGAUAUAUAGCUUGUAAAUGUUAUUUCAAGAAUUUUUUUCUCUUGGGCAAUAGAUUAGCUUAAUGUUGAGGAACCCAGCAAACAUCAAGUUAUAAAAUAGUAGAAUUCUUCUUUUACAUGAUUUCUGAGUAAGAAGGAUGAAACCCUGGCUGGAUUUCCAUAUACACUGCUCAAAACAAUUAAGGGAAAACUUAAAUCUCACAACGGGUCUUGGUGAACAAAAUAUAUUGAAGUUCAAAAUCUUUAAUGAUGUAACAACGUUAUAACAAAAUGAUGUAACAACGGCCAAUGGAAACCAAAAUCACCAACCAAUUGAGGGCUGGAUUCAAACUCCCACCAAAAAUCGAAGUAAACAUUUGAAAUCACAGGCUGUUCCAACAUGGAAACUCAUAAUGUGACUCCGUAGUAUGUAUGGUCCCACACAUGCCUGUAUGUGCUCCUGAUGAGACGACGGAUGGUGUCCUAGGGGAUCUCCUCCCAGACCUGGAUCUGGGCAUCAGUGAGCUCCUGGAGAGUCUGUGGUACUACAUGGCCUCGUCAGAUGCAUCGAUACAGGUCCCAGAGGUUCUCAAUUGGAUUCAGCUCUGGGGAACGUGAGGGCCAGUCAAUGGCAACAAUACUUUCAU